ACAUAUCAGAAAUUCAGAAUCAAAUUACAUGGAGCAUCAGAUGUUUUCAAUAUUUUAUUUUCCAGGUAUAUACCCUUUGGUAGGUCUCUCUAAUUGUCAACUUCAUUCCAUAAAUAUUCUAAACUUCCAAUUUCAUAAAACUCUAGAUUUUUUAAUGUAGAUGAUAUUUUUUCUCAGAUUUUUCAAAAAAAUAAUUAUUAGUUAUGCAAUAUUUGAGAAUUUAACACGAAUACGAUAUAAUUUUUUGGAAUAUUCAAGUAACACGUAGCUUUUUACCUUUCGUUAACAAAUUGUAUAUGUAUUAUAUUAUAACGGUGUAGUGUCUUUUGCGUUACAAUAUAAUGUCCUAUACAAUUAACAUUUUACUAUCAAAGGUUCAAUAUAAUAGGUGGAUCGAAUCAAAAUAUUAAUACAAAAAAAAUUAAAAGUUUGCUUUCAAAAACUUUACUGUAAACAAAGGGGGAACUGCCCAUGUCAAAACCUAGAGUUAGCUAUUUUUAACUUAGUGCCCAUCCUUAGCUAGAAUAUCUGUAACUUGAUUUACUUUCGCGAUAUUUGUGUUACGUUUUAUUAAUACAUUACUAGAAAAUCAUGAUAUUUGUGUUGCGUUUUAUUAAUACAUGACUAGAAAAUCAUGAUAUUGUUGUGUUCAAUGCUUGUAUUAACAUGGUUAAAGAUGCAAUGGUUUUUUUGAAAAAAAUUCACAUCUUUUCCAUCGUAUUUAUGAAAGAUAUGUUGUCUGAAAAAAUAAUUCAUGCAUUAGCUUGUUUACUACUAAUACUUAAAAUUAUGCAACAUAUGUAAUUUUUAAUAAACCAAUUUAAACACUGAAUAUAGUCUCAUCAUAACUAGUAUAACAAACAUUCUAAUGUCAACAUUACUUAAUUAAUUAACACUAUUUUUAUACACUCUAUCACAUCAGUAGUUGAAGCCAGAAAUUAGCGAAAAAUAUGUAAAUAUUCUUUUCAAUUGUCAUAUGUACUCAUAUACACCAAAUAAUUUUUGACGAUUAGACUAUCCUUCGCUUAAAGUGGCUCCGCCCAUAUACCAAAAGACACUUAAAAGUAUAUAACUAAAAUCAUUAUUCCACCAUGAUCUCCAUACCCAAGCUUUGGUUCUUAGGAAAUUUCCUUUAUUGUCUUGGAGGGGUAAAGACAAGUUAAUCAUUUCACACACAAAUAGUGUGUGUUCAUUUCACAGCCAAAUUAGUAGACAAGUUUUAUAUAUAUAUACAUAUAACAUAACAAAUAAAGAUAUGCUGGAGUCUUGGAGAUAUUCAUUAAGAUGCUAUGAUUAUAUAUUAUUUCUAAUUUUACAUUUGAAGGCCUACAAUAUUUGGAGGAUAAGUUUUAAUUUUUAAAGAAUAUAAGACAAUGGAUGAAGAUAUAAUCCCCCCACCCCAACCCCAUAGCAAUAUACUUCUUUUAUUUUAAUUCACUUAUCAGAUUUUAACUUGAUAUAAAAUUUAAAAAAAUAAUUAAUAGUAUUACUUUUUGAGUGUUAUUUAUCUAUAACAUGUAUUAAAAUAUUUUUUAAUCUUAUGAUAGUUUUUUAAAUCAAAGAAUAUAUAUAUCAUCUAAUUAUUCACAUUAACCUCUAUAGGUCAUAAAAUCUCAAUCUUGUCGUCGUUAAGGCUUAAUUAGAACAAACUAUAAUUUGAGCAUCUAAGUAAAAUUUAGUGACUAGUUUAAGAGCUAUAACGCAUUACUAAUAUCAUCUUAUUCUUUUAUACUCAAAUUUUAUUAUGUCAUAUUGUUUAAGUCUAACAUUAGGUAACGACAAAAAGUACCAUUAUAUAUAACAAUUCGACAUAAUCAUGUUGUUACCUUAAUAUUUGUUUUUCAUUAUCUUUAUUCAUUAUUUAAUAAUUCUAUUUUAUACUUUACCCUACAUUUUUAUGGUAUGCCCUAUUUUUCUUGUAAGUUUAUCACUUAUGUAACGACAUAAACUAAUACAAUCUAUCCAAUUAUGUCAUAUGAUCAUUAAAAUAAUACGAUAUAAUAUAACAUAAUAUAUAUAUAUAUAUAUUUAUUUUUUUUUCUGCUUUGUUUUCUAAAUGCUAAGAUAAGUAUGAAAAUUUAGCGGUUAUAAAGUUCAAAUGCAAACAAGUGCAUGCAGAAUGUCUAUGUCAAGUAAUGUGUAGGGACUACAAAUCUGUUGUAAUGUAAUUUCCAGGAAAUUUCUCCCCACAAAACCCCAAAAGAACUCAUAACAAAAUACCAAAUAAAUGAGGAAAAAAGAGAAAGAUGCGAUACUUUGUCCUUUUUGUUUGUGAAAAAUUAUUUAGAUUCAACAAAAAUAAUUUUUAGCUAUAAUAAAUAUAAAUAUACAUAUUAACUAUUUAUUUUUUAUGAUCCAAUGUCGUUAUAAGUUUUAGAAACACUUACAAAGAAAACUAUUUAUUGUUAAUUAAUUGCUUUUAAAGAUCAUUUUGUGAUAUAAUACUUAUGUCUACAUCAAAUAUUAGUAUAGUGAAUAUGAUUUUUCUCGGGAAAAGGAUCUGAAAAAUACUUUAACUUUAGCCGAAAUUGUUGUUGCGAUGUCAAACUUUAUGGAUGACCUUUUUACCUCCAAACUAUUUAAUAGUCAAUUUUUUACCCUGAACUAUCUAAUAGUGUAUUUUAACGAUAUAUAUGUGCUCACAAAGACACAUUACAAUUUACAAUUAUGCAAUAUUUUUUUAUGUCCACGUGGAAACAUAUAUACCUUAAACUACAUUAUUAAAGGACAAAAAAUCAUUUCCAAAGUUUGAUAUCAUAACAGCAAUUACAAUCAAAGUUAAAAUAUAUUUCAAAACCCUUUUCUUCUUUGUCUUGGUAAAUCUUUACUCAUAUCCGAUAUUUUGUUAAAUACAUACUAUAUUAUUUGUUUAUCACUCAUCUAUUAAUUGAGAAGAGAUCAAUUAGCUAUGAUUUGAACUCAUACUAUCCACCUUGACAUGAUGAUUUUCUUUGCAGCCAUUGUCUGGAAAAUAUGGUGAGGAAAGAUAAAAGUAUCAAUUUCAGCCAAGAGAUCCAGGGACAAUAGUAUAGUCGAUCCACAAUAUAUCUAAAGAAGAGAUAGAAAAUUAUGAAAUGAAUAGUUUAGCAAAGUUGCUUACACUACAACAGAAAUAACUCUUAGCGUCAUUAAAUAUUGACACUAAUAAAGAGUGCUAAAGUCUUUACCGGUAUUAUUAAGUGCCAUUAGAACCAAUGACGCUAAAGGUGAGUGACAAUUGCCGCUUAGCAAUAGUGUUAAAGAGCAACUCAAAGAACAACUAUUGCUUGCUAUUUUGAGCCAACAAUAAUAUUUAUUUGUAUUCUUGAUUAUGUUCAUUUAUAGAUUAAAUAGAAAAAUCUUAAAAAAUAUAUCCUCCAACAUACAUUAUAUUUAGGGAAAUGUUGUAAAGGUAGUUGUUGAUGACAUAAACAAGGUGGAAAAAAGCUUGUGUAUGCAUGAUUUUAAUGCUUGUGCCAACUUUUAAUAUUGCUAUAUAUGUGUCCAAACUCCUAAUAGACUAUCUUUAUCAUAUAUAGGUGGAAACUCUUACACAACUUCAAGAGUAAGCAACUGAAUAAGGAGGAGACGGCCAAAUACAAAGCAGCAUAAGAAAUGAUCAAGUCAUCACUUAAUUCUAAGGUAAGUUAGAGUCAUUUUUAUGAGCUAUACAAUGUUCACAAAGCACUGUAAGUGUGGAUAUAUUGAGACAUGCAAAGUACCAUUUGUACAUGAGUUUGGUCCUAACUCAAGUUUAUGGCCCACAAUGAU
Molecule: long non-coding RNA, 3750 nt
Filed under: Solanum lycopersicum (tomato)
Lineage: Eukaryota; Viridiplantae; Streptophyta; Magnoliopsida; Solanales; Solanaceae
Description: long non-coding RNA (SLYC_LNC000601)
Source: RNAcentral